AGAGUUUGAUCAUGGCUCAGAUUGAACGCUGGCGGCAUGCCUUACACAUGCAAGUCGAACGGCAGCACGGGGGCAACCCUGGUGGCGAGUGGCGAACGGGUGAGUAAUAUAUCGGAACGUGCCCUAGAGUGGGGGGAUAACUAGUCGAAAGAUUAGCUAAUACCGCAUACGAUCUAUGGAUGAAAGUGGGGGAUUCGCAAGAACCUCAUGCUCCUGGAGCGGCCGAUAUCUGAUUAGCUAGUUGGUAGGGUAAAAGCCUACCAAGGCUACGAUCAGUAGCUGGUCUGAGAGGACGACCAGCCACACUGGAACUGAGACACGGUCCAGACUCCUACGGGAGGCAGCAGUGGGGAAUUUUGGACAAUGGGGGCAACCCUGAUCCAGCAAUGCCGCGUGAGUGAAGAAGGCCUUCGGGUUGUAAAGCUCUUUUGUCAGGGAAGAAACGGUGAGAGCUAAUAUCUCUUGCUAAUGACGGUACCUGAAGAAUAAGCACCGGCUAACUACGUGCCAGCAGCCGCGGUAAUACGUAGGGUGCAAGCGUUAAUCGGAAUUACUGGGCGUAAAGCGUGCGCAGGCGGUUGUGCAAGACAGAUGUGAAAUCCCCGGGCUCAACCUGGGAAUUGCAUUUGUGACUGCACGGCUAGAGUGUGUCAGAGGGGGGUAGAAUUCCCGUGUAGCAGUGAAAUGCGUAGAUAUGUGGAGGAAUACCGAUGGCGAAGGCAGCCCCCUGGGAUAACACUGACGCUCAUGCACGAAAGCGUGGGGAGCAAACAGGAUUAGAUACCCUAGUAGUCC
Molecule: ribosomal RNA, 795 nt
Filed under: uncultured bacterium
Lineage: Bacteria
Description: bacterial SSU rRNA
Rfam family: Bacterial small subunit ribosomal RNA
Source: RNAcentral